This 484-nucleotide ribosomal RNA is filed under the name uncultured bacterium. RNAcentral's name for it is "partial 16S ribosomal RNA". It matches the Rfam family "Bacterial small subunit ribosomal RNA", at positions 30 to 507 of the family's 1533-position model. The record is from RNAcentral.
AUUGAACGCUGGCGGCAGGCCUAACACAUGCAAGUCGAGCGGAUGAAGGGAGCUUGCUCCUGGAUUCAGCGGCGGACGGGUGAGUAAUGCCUAGGAAUCUGCCUGGUAGUGGGGGAUAACGUCCGGAAACGGGCGCUAAUACCGCAUACGUCCUGAGGGGGAAAGUGGGGGAUCUUCGGACCUCACGCUAUCAGAUGAGCCUAGGUCGGAUUAGCUAGUUGGUGGGGUAAAGGCCUACCAAGGCGACGAUCCGUAACUGGUCUGAGAGGAUGAUCAGUCACACUGGAACUGAGACACGGUCCAGACUCCUACGGGAGGCAGCAGUGGGGAAUAUUGGACAAUGGGCGAAAGCCUGAUCCAGCCAUGCCGCGUGUGUGAAGAAGGUCUUCGGAUUGUAAAGCACUUUAAGUUGGGAGGAAGGGCAGUAAGUUAAUACCCUGCUGUUUUGACGUUACCAACAGAAUAAGCACCGGCUAACUUCGUG